This 317-nucleotide long non-coding RNA is filed under the name Setaria italica (foxtail millet). Its description in RNAcentral is "long non-coding RNA (SITA_LNC003313)". Lineage: Eukaryota; Viridiplantae; Streptophyta; Magnoliopsida; Poales; Poaceae. The record is from RNAcentral.
ACAAUACAAAACCAUGAGAGUUCGAUUCACAUCAAAAUCAAUUUUCAAUAAUGGGAUAUAAAUUAGGCAAGAUAAAUUACUAUUAAGCACAUUAAAUCAUAAAAGACAUGUAAAUCAUCCAAAAAAACAUGAAUACAAUUUUUCAUGGAUUCUAUAUAGAAAACAUAGACCUAAUAGAAGUGGUUUCAAUAUUUUAUCAGUUUUCUGCUAUUUAUUAUGCAAAUAAUAAGAUUAAGACAACAAACAAGAAAUAGAUCUAAAACAGUUUGAAAACUAUAUAUUCCACUUAUACAAGUUGUAGAUCUGGAGCAUACAUG